This 454-nucleotide ribosomal RNA is filed under the name bacterium AB2001. RNAcentral's name for it is "bacterial SSU rRNA". It matches the Rfam family "Bacterial small subunit ribosomal RNA", at positions 28 to 464 of the family's 1533-position model. The record is from RNAcentral.
GAUGAACGCUGGCGGCGUGCCUAACACAUGCAAGUCGAACGGAGUUUAGCGCUGAUGAAGCUUCGGCAGAUUCUUGUUAAACUUAGUGGCGGACGGGUGAGUAACGCGUGGGUAACCUGCCUCAUACAGGGGGAUAGCAGUUGGAAACGACUGAUAACACCGCAUAAGCGCACAGGAUCGCAUGAUMYAGUGUGAAAAUAUUUAUAGGUAUGAGAUGGACCCGCGUCUGAUUAGCUAGUUGGUGAGGUAACGGCCCACCAAGGCGACGAUCAGUAGCCGGCCUGAGAGGGCGGACGGCCACAUUGGGACUGAGACACGGCCCAAACUCCUACGGGAGGCAGCAGUGGGGGAUAUUGCACAAUGGGCGAAAGCCUGAUGCAGCGACGCCGCGUGAGUGAAGAAGUAUUUCGGUAUGUAAAGCUCUAUCAGCAGGGAAGAAAGAUCUCGUAAGAGG